CGCCUCCUGCAAAAAUCAAUGUAUAAGAGGUCCUACCUGCCCAGUGACUUAGUUAAACGGCCGCGGUAUUUUGACCGUGCAAAGGUAGCGCAAUCACUUGUCUUUUAAAUAAAGACCUGUAUGAAUGGUGAAACGAGGGCUUAACUGUCUCCCCUCUCUAAUCAGUGAAAUUGAUCUACCCGUGCAGAAGCGGGUAUAAGUAUACAAGACGAGAAGACCCUAUGGAGCUUUAGACAUAAGGUCACCUAUGUUAAAACCCCCAAAUAAAAGGAACAAAACAAAAUAGCAACUGACCAACGUCUUCGGUUGGGGCGACCACGGGGAAAAAUAAAUCCCCCACGUGGACUGGGAUAUUUUCCUAAAACCACGAGGCACACCUCUAAGUCACAGAAUUUCUGACCAAGGGAUCCGGCCUUUGGCCGAUCAACGAACCAAGUUACCCUAGGGAUAACAGCGCAAUCCCCUUUGAGAGUCCAUAUCGACAAGGGGGUUUACGACCUCGAUGUUGGAUCAGGACAUCCUAAUGGUGCAGCCGCUAUUAAGGGUUCGUUUGUUCAACGAUUAAAGUCCU
This 571-nucleotide ribosomal RNA is filed under the name Pristella maxillaris. Its description in RNAcentral is "partial 16S ribosomal RNA". It matches the Rfam family "Bacterial large subunit ribosomal RNA", at positions 1816 to 2597 of the family's 2925-position model. Lineage: Eukaryota; Metazoa; Chordata; Actinopteri; Characiformes; Acestrorhamphidae. The record is from RNAcentral.